AUUGAACGCUGGCGGCAGGCCUAACACAUGCAAGUCGAGCGGAAACGAGUUAUCUGAACCUUCGGGGACGAUAACGGCGUCGAGCGGCGGACGGGUGAGUAAUGCCUAGGAAAUUGCCCUGAUGUGGGGGAUAACCAUUGGAAACGAUGGCUAAUACCGCAUAAUGCCUACGGGCCAAAGAGGGGGACCUUCGGGCCUCGUCGCGUCAGGAUAUGCCUAGGUGGAUUAGCUAGUUGGUGAGGUAAUGGCUCACCAAGGCGACGAUCCCUAGCUGGUCUGAGAGGAUGAUCAGCCACACUGGAACUGAGACACGGUCCAGACUCCUACGGGAGCAGGCAGUGGGGAAUAUGCACAAUGGGCGCAAGCCUGAUGCAGCCAUGCCGCGUGUGUGAAGAAGGCCCUUCGGGUUGUAAAGCACUUUCAGUCGUGAGGAAGGUAGUGUAGUUAAUAGCUGC
Molecule: ribosomal RNA, 455 nt
Filed under: uncultured bacterium
Lineage: Bacteria
Description: bacterial SSU rRNA
Rfam family: Bacterial small subunit ribosomal RNA
Source: RNAcentral